CCUACAAGUCCUUUACUGACGCUAAAGCUCGAAGGUGCGGGUAUCGAACAGGAUUAGAUACCCUGGUAGUCCGCACGGUAAACGAUGGAUGCCCGCUGUUUGCGAUAUACUGUGAGCGGCCAAGCGAAAGCGUUAAGCAUCCCACCUGGGGAGUACGCCGGCAACGGUGAAACUCAAAGGAAUUGACGGGGGCCCGCACAAGCGGAGGAACAUGUGGUUUAAUUCGAUGAUACGCGAGGAACCUUACCCGGGCUUGAACUGCAGCAGAACGAUUGAGAGAUCAUGAGGUCCUUCGGGACUGCUGUGGAGGUGCUGCAUGGUUGUCGUCAGCUCGUGCCGUGAGGUGUCGGCUUAAGUGCCAUAACGAGCGCAACCCCUCUCUUCAGUUGCCAUCAGGUAGAGCUGGGCACUCUGGAGACACUGCCACCGUAAGGUGUGAGGAAGGUGGGGAUGACGUCAAAUCAGCACGGCCCUUACGUCCGGGGCUACACACGUGUUACAAUGGGUGGUACAGAGCGUCGGCGGCCUGCAAAGUCCGUCCAAUCGCAAAAUCCAUCCUCAGUUCGGACUGGGGUCUGCAACCCGACCCCACGAAGCUGG
This 600-nucleotide ribosomal RNA is filed under the name uncultured bacterium. RNAcentral describes it as "bacterial SSU rRNA". It matches the Rfam family "Bacterial small subunit ribosomal RNA", at positions 725 to 1329 of the family's 1533-position model. The record is from RNAcentral.